CCUACGGGCGGCAGCAGUGAGGAAUAUUGGUCAAUGGGCGCGAGCCUGAACCAGCCAAGUCGCGUGAGGGAAGACGGUCCUAUGGAUUGUAAACCUCUUUUGUCGGGGAGCAAAAGACGCUACGCGUGGCGUUCCGAGAGUACCCGAAGAAAAAGCAUCGGCUAACUCAGUGCCAGCAGCCGCGGUACUACGGGGGAUGCGAGGGUUAUCGGUAUUUAUUGGGGUUAAAGGGUGCGCAGGCGGAACAUCAAGUCAGCGGUAAAAUUGAGUGGCUCAACCUCUUCGAGCCGUUGAAACUGGUUGUCUUGAGUGAGUGAGAAGUAUGCGGAAUGCGUGGUGUAGCAGUGAAAUGCAUAGAUAUCACGCAGAACUCCGAUUGCGAAGGCAGCAUACCGGCGCUCAACUGACGCUCAUGCACGAAAGUGUGGGUAUCGAACAGGAUUAGAUACCCCAGUAGUC
This 459-nucleotide ribosomal RNA is filed under the name uncultured bacterium. RNAcentral's name for it is "partial 16S ribosomal RNA". It matches the Rfam family "Bacterial small subunit ribosomal RNA", at positions 338 to 795 of the family's 1533-position model. The record is from RNAcentral.